RNAcentral lists this ribosomal RNA (516 nucleotides) under uncultured bacterium. RNAcentral describes it as "bacterial SSU rRNA". It matches the Rfam family "Bacterial small subunit ribosomal RNA", at positions 355 to 889 of the family's 1533-position model. The record is from RNAcentral.
UGGGGAAUCUUGGACAAUGGGGGCAACCCUGAUCCAGCCAUGCCGCGUGAGUGAUGAAGGCCUUAGGGUCGUAAAGCUCUUUCGCCUGUGAAGAUAAUGACGGUAGCAGGUAAAGAAACCCCGGCUAACUCCGUGCCAGCAGCCGCGGUAAUACGGAGGGAGCUAGCGUUGUUCGGAAUUACUGGGCGUAAAGCGCGCGUAGGCGGCUUUGCAAGUAGAGGGUGAAAUCCCGGGGCUCAACCCGGAACUGCCUCCAAAACUAUUGGUCUAGAGUUCGAGAGAGGUGAGUGGAAUUCCAAGUGUAGAGGUGAAAUUCGUAGAUAUUUGGAGGAACACCAGUGGCGAAGGCGGCUCACUGGGCUCGAUACUGACGCUGAGGUGCGAAAGUGUGGGGAGCAAACAGGAUUAGAUACCCUGGUAGUCCACACCGUAAACGAUGAAUGCCAGUCGUCGGGUAGCAUGCUAUUCGGUGACACACCUAACGGAUUAAGCAUUCCGCCUGGGGAGUACGGUCGC